CCUACGGGUGGCAGCAGUGGGGAAUAUUGGACAAUGGGCGAAAGCCUGAUCCAGCCAUGCCGCGUGUGUGAAGAAGGCCUUCGGGUUGUAAAGCACUUUCAGUGGGGAAGAAAGCCUUGGGGCUAAUACCCUCGAGGAAGGACAUCACCCACAGAAGAAGCUCCGGCUAACUCCGUGCCAGCAGCCGCGGUAAUACGGAGGGUGCGAGCGUUAAUCGGAAUUACUGGGCGUAAAGCGCGCGUAGGCGGUCUGAUAAGCCGGUUGUGAAAGCCCCGGGCUCAACCUGGGAACGGCAUCCGGAACUGUCAGGCUAGAGUGCAGGAGAGGAAGGUAGAAUUCCCGGUGUAGCGGUGAAAUGCGUAGAGAUCGGGAGGAAUACCAGUGGCGAAGGCGGCCUUCUGGACUGACACUGACGCUGAGGUGCGAAAGCGUGGGUAGCAAACAGGAUUAGAUACCCCUGUAGUC
Molecule: ribosomal RNA, 465 nt
Filed under: Vreelandella stevensii
Lineage: Bacteria; Pseudomonadati; Pseudomonadota; Gammaproteobacteria; Oceanospirillales; Halomonadaceae
Description: partial 16S ribosomal RNA
Rfam family: Bacterial small subunit ribosomal RNA
Source: RNAcentral